GAUGGUUAGAAUUGUAACUUUAUUAGGGUAUUUUAUUAUAAAGAUAAAGGGUGAAAUCUGGUGUUGUUAAGUAAUAGAAUAUAGUUUUAAAGGGUUUUGAGGCCAUUAAGGUUUUGGUAUAGAACAGGAUUAGAUACCCUGUUAUACAAAGUUAAAAGUUAAUCUCUUGAGUAGUAAACAGUUAUAUUCUUGAAACUUAAAGGAUUUGGCGGUAUCUUAGUCUUGUUAGAGGAACCUGUUCUGUAAACGAUACACCACGAAUUAUCUUACUUUCUCUUGUAUCUCAGUUUGUAUACCGCCAUUGUCAGGUAGUUUUUAUAAAAAUCUAUUGUAAGAAUUGUUAGUUAAUAUAUUAGGUCAAGGUGCAGCUAAUGGGAGAGUAGUUAAUGGGUUACAUUAAUAUUGGUUUAUAACGGAUAGGGAGGAUAAGGCUUCUUUGAAGGUGGAUUUAAUAGUAAUUGUUGUUUAAUAAGCUGUACUGAUAGAAGCUCUAAGAUAUGUACACAUCGCCCGUCGCUCUCACUUUAAUGU
Molecule: ribosomal RNA, 531 nt
Filed under: Parapandalus sp. SS-2019
Lineage: Eukaryota; Metazoa; Arthropoda; Malacostraca; Decapoda; Pandalidae
Description: partial 12S ribosomal RNA
Rfam family: Microsporidia small subunit ribosomal RNA (bases 169-531)
Source: RNAcentral